GACGAACGCUGGCGGCGUGCUUAACACAUGCAAGUCGAACGGAAAGGCCCGGCUUUUGUGGGGUGCUCGAGUGGCGAACGGGUGAGUAACACGUGAGUAACCUGCCCUUGACUUUGGGAUAACUUCAGGAAACUGGGGCUAAUACCGGAUAGGAGCUCCUGCUGCAUGGUGGGGGUUGGAAAGUUUCGGCGGUUGGGGAUGGACUCGCGGCUUAUCAGCUUGUUGGUGGGGUAGUGGCUUACCAAGGCUUUGACGGGUAGCCGGCCUGAGAGGGUGACCGGCCACAUUGGGACUGAGAGACGGCCCAGACGCCUACGGGAGGCAGCAGUGGAGAAUAUUGCACAAUGGGCGGAAGCCUGAGGCAGCAACGCCGCGUGCGGGAUGACGGCCUUCGGGUUGUAAACCGCUUUCGCCUGUGACGAAGCGUGAGUGACGGUAAUGGGUAAAGAAGCACCGGCUAACUACGUG
This 468-nucleotide ribosomal RNA is filed under the name uncultured bacterium. RNAcentral describes it as "partial 16S ribosomal RNA". It matches the Rfam family "Bacterial small subunit ribosomal RNA", at positions 28 to 507 of the family's 1533-position model. The record is from RNAcentral.